GACUGCCAUCAUGUUCAAUGCUGAUUGUACCCGUAUGGUUACCGAAACCACGUUGUUUGAUGCAUCGCCAGGUUUGUCGUUAUUUCGGGCUUACAGUAUUCUGUGCUCGUUAGCCUAUGGUGUUAUUAGCGCACGCCAACCCACCCACGCCAAUGUUGCAGAUACGCACGUGGCAUCUGAUGAAGAAAUUAACAACACCAUCUCUAGAUGCUGGCGUGAAAACAAUACGCGUUGUGUCCACACACUGCAACCGCAGCCGAUUACCACUACAAACAUACGGGGAGCGCCAUGCGGCGCGUCUGUGUGGCCACGGCCGGGCCGGAUAAGUUCCCGGAGGCACUACAGGGCGCCGGCGUCGCCUUCACACCCUGCCAGCGGAUCCGCCAGCUCACCUCGCUGCCCACGCGCUCCGAGGCCAUGGCGCGCGGCCGCGACUGGGAGGCCAUGCUGCGAGCCAAGAUCGAGGCAGUCACGGCCACCCGCGAGCAGCAGAGGCGCCAGCGAGAGGCGGAGCGGCGCUAGCAGGAGGUGGAGCGACGCUGUGGCGAGACGGGGCGACGCGGGGGCGAAAUGGGGCGAUGCUAAGGCGACGCUGCGGCAAUAUGGGGCGACACUGGGGCAAUAUGGGGCGGCACUGGUGCCAGGCAGAACGACGCUGGGGCGAGAUGGGGCGACGCUGUAGCGACACUAAGGCGAGUCAGUGCGAUGAUGGGGAGAGAUGGGGAAACAACAGGGCGGGAUGGGGAGAAAUGGGGCGACACUGGGGCAACGUUGGGACGAGGCGGACCAAUGAUGGGAUAAGGCGGCUGGAAGACUUCACUGAACACGCGAGAGAACCGGCUGCUGGGUGUACGAGCGCAUGCUAAGUUCCCAGUGCACUGGCUGCGUUGCUGGUGGGCCGGCUAAGACCAAGGCCGACUAAGACCAAAUUUCUGUGAGAAGCGAUAACAGAUGCUUGUGCAAUGCAUGAUGUACCUAUAGUGAACUCACCGCAUGGAAAAGAGCAUGGGCAGUACUAUGUAACAAAGACAUCCUUUAUCUGAUUUGUAAUAAAAAAGGAAAGAUGAA
Molecule: long non-coding RNA, 1068 nt
Organism: Pollicipes pollicipes
Lineage: Eukaryota; Metazoa; Arthropoda; Thecostraca; Pollicipedomorpha; Pollicipedidae
Exons: 2
Source: RefSeq, a predicted model, not a curated record